This 403-nucleotide ribosomal RNA is filed under the name uncultured bacterium. RNAcentral describes it as "partial 16S ribosomal RNA". It matches the Rfam family "Bacterial small subunit ribosomal RNA", at positions 28 to 526 of the family's 1533-position model. The record is from RNAcentral.
GACGAACGCUGGCGGCGUGCCUAAUACAUGCAAGUCGAACGCAGUGGGGACGGGUGAGUAACACGUGGGUAACCUCCCAUCAGAGGGGAUAACACUUGGAAACAGGUGCUAAACCGAUACUGAUGGAUGGACCCGCGGUGCAUUAGCUAGUUGGUGAGGUAACGGCUCACCAAGGCCACGAUGGCUAGCCGAACUUGAGGGGUGAACGGGCAAAACGGGACUGGGGAAAGGCCCAGAAUCCUUACGGGAGCAGCCGUAGGGGAACUUCGGCAAUGGGCGGAAGUGUGGAAGAACAAAGCCGGGGGAGUGAAGAAAGUUUUCGGGAUCUAAAACUCCGUUGUUGGGGAGGCGGUAACUAACCAGAAAGCGACGGCUAACUACGUGCCAGCAGCCGCGGUAAUAC